Non-coding RNA from Pteropus alecto (black flying fox), 119 nucleotides. The record is from Rfam. NCBI's taxonomy places the organism in Eukaryota, Metazoa, Chordata, Mammalia, Chiroptera, Pteropodidae.
UUCUACGGCCAUUCUACCCUGAACAAGCCCGAUCCCAUCUGAUCUUGGAAGCUAAGCAGGGUUGGGCUUGGUUAGUACUUGGAUGGGAGACCACCUAGGAAGACCAGGUGCUGUAGGCA